AUACGUAGGUGGCAAGCGUUGUCCGGAAUUAUUGGGCGUAAAGAGCGCGUAGGCGGGAUAACAAGUCUAUCUUAAAAGUGCGGGGCUCAACCCCGUGAGGGGAUAGAAACUGUUAUCCUUGAGUGCAGGAGAGGGAAGUGGAAUUCCCAGUGUAGCGGUGAAAUGCGUAGAUAUUGGGAGGAACACCAGUGGCGAAGGCGGCUUUCUGGACUGUGUCUGACGCUGAGGCGCGAAAGCCAGGGGAGCGAACGGGAUUAGAUACCCCGGUAGUCCUGGCCGUAAACGAUGGGUACUAGGUGUAGGAGGUAUCGACCCCUUCUGUGCCGCAAGCAAACGCAAUAAGUACCCCGCCUGGGGAGUACGGCCGCAAGGUUGAA
Molecule: ribosomal RNA, 377 nt
Filed under: uncultured bacterium
Lineage: Bacteria
Description: bacterial SSU rRNA
Rfam family: Bacterial small subunit ribosomal RNA
Source: RNAcentral